UACGGAGGAUCCGAGCGUUAUCCGGAUUUAUUGGGUUUAAAGGGUGCGUAGGCGGUUUGAUAAGUUAGAGGUGAAAUGUCGGGGCUCAACCCCGAAACUGCCUCUAAUACUGUUGGACUAGAGAAUAGUUGCGGUAGGCGGAAUGUAUGGUGUAGCGGUGAAAUGCUUAGUGAUCAUACAGAACACCGAUUGCGUAGGCAGCUUACCAAACUAUAUCUGACGUUGAGGCACGAAAGCGUGGGUAGCAAACAGG
RNAcentral lists this ribosomal RNA (253 nucleotides) under uncultured bacterium. Its description in RNAcentral is "partial 16S ribosomal RNA". It matches the Rfam family "Bacterial small subunit ribosomal RNA", at positions 524 to 776 of the family's 1533-position model. The record is from RNAcentral.